UUAAGCGACUAAGCGUACACGGUGGAUGCCCUGGCAGUCAGAGGCGAUGAAGGACGUGCUAAUCUGCGAUAAGCGUCGGUAAGGUGAUAUGAACCGUUAUAACCGGCGAUUUCCGAAUGGGGAAACCCAGUGUGUUUCGACACACUAUCAUUAACUGAAUCCAUAGGUUAAUGAGGCGAACCGGGGGAACUGAAACAUCUAAGUACCCCGAGGAAAAGAAAUCAACCGAGAUUCCCCCAGUAGCGGCGAGCGAACGGGGAGCAGCCCAGAGCCUGAAUCAGUGUGUGUGUUAGUGGAAGCGCCUGGAAAGGCGCGCGAUACAGGGUGACAGCCCCGUACACAAAAAUGCACAUGCUGUGAGCUCGAUGAGUAGGGCGGGACACGUGGUAUCCUGUCUGAAUAUGGGGGGACCAUCCUCCAAGGCUAAAUACUCCUGACUGACCGAUAGUGAACCAGUACCGUGAGGGAAAGGCGAAAAGAACCCCGGCGAGGGGAGUGAAAAAGAACCUGAAACCGUGUACGUACAAGCAGUGGGAGCACGCUUAGGCGUGUGACUGCGUACCUUUUGUAUAAUGGGUCAGCGACUUAUAUUCUGUAGCAAGGUUAACCGAAUAGGGGAGCCGAAGGGAAACCGAGUCUUAACUGGGCGUUAAGUUGCAGGGUAUAGACCCGAAACCCGGUGAUCUAGCCAUGGGCAGGUUGAAGGUUGGGUAACACUAACUGGAGGACCGAACCGACUAAUGUUGAAAAAUUAGCGGAUGACUUGUGGCUGGGGGUGAAAGGCCAAUCAAACCGGGAGAUAGCUGGUUCUCCCCGAAAGCUAUUUAGGUAGCGCCUCGUGAAUUCAUCUCCGGGGGUAGAGCACUGUUUCGGCAAGGGGGUCAUCCCGACUUACCAACCCGAUGCAAACUGCGAAUACCGGAGAAUGUUAUCACGGGAGACACACGGCGGGUGCUAACGUCCGUCGUGAAGAGGGAAACAACCCAGACCGCCAGCUAAGGUCCCAAAGUCAUGGUUAAGUGGGAAACGAUGUGGGAAGGCCCAGACAGCCAGGAUGUUGGCUUAGAAGCAGCCAUCAUUUAAAGAAAGCGUAAUAGCUCACUGGUCGAGUCGGCCUGCGCGGAAGAUGUAACGGGGCUAAACCAUGCACCGAAGCUGCGGCAGCGACGCUUAUGCGUUGUUGGGUAGGGGAGCGUUCUGUAAGCCUGCGAAGGUGUGCUGUGAGGCAUGCUGGAGGUAUCAGAAGUGCGAAUGCUGACAUAAGUAACGAUAAAGCGGGUGAAAAGCCCGCUCGCCGGAAGACCAAGGGUUCCUGUCCAACGUUAAUCGGGGCAGGGUGAGUCGACCCCUAAGGCGAGGCCGAAAGGCGUAGUCGAUGGGAAACAGGUUAAUAUUCCUGUACUUGGUGUUACUGCGAAGGGGGGACGGAGAAGGCUAUGUUGGCCGGGCGACGGUUGUCCCGGUUUAAGCGUGUAGGCUGGUUUUCCAGGCAAAUCCGGAAAAUCAAGGCUGAGGCGUGAUGACGAGGCACUACGGUGCUGAAGCAACAAAUGCCCUGCUUCCAGGAAAAGCCUCUAAGCAUCAGGUAACAUCAAAUCGUACCCCAAACCGACACAGGUGGUCAGGUAGAGAAUACCAAGGCGCUUGAGAGAACUCGGGUGAAGGAACUAGGCAAAAUGGUGCCGUAACUUCGGGAGAAGGCACGCUGAUAUGUAGGUGAAGUCCCUCGCGGAUGGAGCUGAAAUCAGUCGAAGAUACCAGCUGGCUGCAACUGUUUAUUAAAAACACAGCACUGUGCAAACACGAAAGUGGACGUAUACGGUGUGACGCCUGCCCGGUGCCGGAAGGUUAAUUGAUGGGGUUAGCCGCAAGGCGAAGCUCUUGAUCGAAGCCCCGGUAAACGGCGGCCGUAACUAUAACGGUCCUAAGGUAGCGAAAUUCCUUGUCGGGUAAGUUCCGACCUGCACGAAUGGCGUAAUGAUGGCCAGGCUGUCUCCACCCGAGACUCAGUGAAAUUGAACUCGCUGUGAAGAUGCAGUGUACCCGCGGCAAGACGGAAAGACCCCGUGAACCUUUACUAUAGCUUGACACUGAACAUUGAGCCUUGAUGUGUAGGAUAGGUGGGAGGCUUUGAAGUGUGGACGCCAGUCUGCAUGGAGCCGACCUUGAAAUACCACCCUUUAAUGUUUGAUGUUCUAACGUGGACCCGUGAUCCGGGUUGCGGACAGUGUCUGGUGGGUAGUUUGACUGGGGCGGUCUCCUCCUAAAGAGUAACGGAGGAGCACGAAGGUUGGCUAAUCCUGGUCGGACAUCAGGAGGUUAGUGCAAUGGCAUAAGCCAGCUUGACUGCGAGCGUGACGGCGCGAGCAGGUGCGAAAGCAGGUCAUAGUGAUCCGGUGGUUCUGAAUGGAAGGGCCAUCGCUCAACGGAUAAAAGGUACUCCGGGGAUAACAGGCUGAUACCGCCCAAGAGUUCAUAUCGACGGCGGUGUUUGGCACCUCGAUGUCGGCUCAUCACAUCCUGGGGCUGAAGUAGGUCCCAAGGGUAUGGCUGUUCGCCAUUUAAAGUGGUACGCGAGCUGGGUUUAGAACGUCGUGAGACAGUUCGGUCCCUAUCUGCCGUGGGCGCUGGAGAACUGAGGGGGGCUGCUCCUAGUACGAGAGGACCGGAGUGGACGCAUCACUGGUGUUCGGGUUGUCAUGCCAAUGGCACUGCCCGGUAGCUAAAUGCGGAAGAGAUAAGUGCUGAAAGCAUCUAAGCACGAAACUUGCCCCGAGAUGAGUUCUCCCUGACUCCUUGAGAGUCCUGAAGGAACGUUGAAGACGACGACGUUGAUAGGCCGGGUGUGUAAGCGCAGCGAUGCGUUGAGCUAACCGGUACUAAUGAACCGUGAGGCUUAACCU
RNAcentral lists this ribosomal RNA (2903 nucleotides) under Escherichia coli. RNAcentral describes it as "23S ribosomal RNA". It matches the Rfam family "Bacterial large subunit ribosomal RNA". The record is from RNAcentral. Lineage: Bacteria; Pseudomonadati; Pseudomonadota; Gammaproteobacteria; Enterobacterales; Enterobacteriaceae.